GCCCGGCUAGCUCAAUUGGAAGAGCGUUCACCUUUGACUUUGACAAAUAGAAUGGUUGCAAGUUCGAACCUUGCGCUGGGCC
This is a non-coding RNA of Astrocystis sublimbata, 82 nucleotides long. The record is from the annotation of a GenBank genome assembly. NCBI's taxonomy places the organism in Eukaryota, Fungi, Ascomycota, Sordariomycetes, Xylariales, Xylariaceae.